RNAcentral lists this ribosomal RNA (301 nucleotides) under uncultured bacterium. Its description in RNAcentral is "partial 16S ribosomal RNA". It matches the Rfam family "Bacterial small subunit ribosomal RNA", at positions 509 to 807 of the family's 1533-position model. The record is from RNAcentral.
CAGCAGCCACGGUAAUACGAAGGGGGCUAGCGUUGUUCGGAAUUACUGGGCGUAAAGGGCGCGUAGGCGGCCAUUCAAGUUAGAUGUGAAAGCCCUGGGCUCAACCUAGGAAUUGCAUUUGAUACUGUUUGGCUUGAGUUCGGGAGAGGUGAGUGGAAUUCCCAGUGUAGAGGUGAAAUUCGUAGAUAUUGGGAAGAACACCGGCGGCGAAGGCGGCGACCUGGUCCUUUACUGACGCUGAGGCGCGAAAGCGUGGGGAGCAAACAGGAUUAGAUACCCCCGUAGUCCCUGUCUCUUAUAC